CCUAGGCGCUAGGCGCCCGCCUAGGCGGCCUGUUGUUUUUUUUCCCCGACUUUAAAGAAAACACGCUGCCUCCUCUGAGCCCGGUCCUCCUCUCUCUCACGACAGACCACAACCACCAGGCCUCCACCCGCGACGACCACCACAAGGCUGCGACCCUCGACCCCCGACCCUCGAACUCCGUAAAGAAUUUGGGUUGUCCUCUUCGGCUGAAACAAGUGCAUUUGCUGAAGACAUCUUCGCAAGAGUGCCCCGUAAAGAAUCUGGUUCGAAUGUGAGUUGUUAUUCCAAACUUAGGAUUUUAGCCUCCAGUCUUAUCUGUCACGUCGUGUCUUUCCUGCUUGUUACUCGUGUAUAUCAGCUAUAUCAGAAACAAGAGAGGGAAGCUGCGAUGUUAGUGAAGAAGCAGAAGACAUAUUCUCUCUUGGAUGCAGAUGACGAUGAUGGAGAUAGAUCUUCUGCCCAGAUCGUUUCUGAGUCCAGGAAAGCUGAUUCCCAUAAGAAACGAUUCAGGAAGAAGGUCUUGAGUUAAGAAGAUGAAGAUGAUGAGGUGAUUGCACAAGAGGACGAAGAGAGACGAGUUAAAAGACGAAUUCCCCAGAUGACGAUGAUGGUUCAGAGGAGGUGAUUUAUAUUGCAGCUUGAGUUUGACUUUCAAGCACUUCCUCUUAAGUGGUAAUUGAAAUCGUACAUAAACGAGUAGGUUGAAGAGGAUGAUAUUGAAGAAUUCUCAAGUAGCUUACAGGACACUGAUCUUAGUGAUGAGGAUUGGGCUGCUUGAGAUGGUAACGACACAGAGCGCACAGAAUUAGAGAUGCACCCGUGUCAAGCAAAGUGAUGUGAUAUUACUCCCCUGUGCAAGGCCCAAGGGAUGAUGAUGAUGAUGAGAGUGUUGAUGAGCUUGCUCGCUGCUUAGUGUUAUAAGAAGAGCUCCUCAAAAAUUGACACAUUGCCUGCCUGCCGCAUACUGUAAUCUUCACUUUCGUAUUAUUGGCAGGCAUAUAGAUUGUUUUCAUGAAUGUUUUAAGAUGACAUAUCCGCCCUCUUGUUCCUCUUUCUUCGUUA
Molecule: long non-coding RNA, 1062 nt
Organism: Prunus mume (Japanese apricot)
Lineage: Eukaryota; Viridiplantae; Streptophyta; Magnoliopsida; Rosales; Rosaceae
Source: RefSeq, a predicted model, not a curated record